GAUCAACGCUGGCGGCGCACAUAAGACAUGCAAGUUGAACGGACUUAAUCGAAAUAUUUAUAUUUUGAAGCGGUUAGUGGCGGACUGGUGAGUAACGCGUAAGGAACCUGCCUAUUAGAGGGGAAUAACAGUGAGAAAUCAUUGCUAAUACCGCAUAUGCCAUAGAUAUCACAUGAUAACAGUGGGAAAGGAGCAAUCCGCUAAUAGAUGGCCUUGCGUCUGAUUAGAUAGUUGGUGGGGUAACGGCCUACCAAGUCGACGAUCAGUAGCCGGACUGAGAGGUUGAACGGCCACAUUGGGACUGAGAUACGGCCCAGACUCCUACGGGAGGCAGCAGUCGGGAAUAUUGCGCAAUGGAGGAAACUCUGACGCAGUGACGCCGCGUAUAGGAAGAAGGUUUUCGGAUUGUAAACUAUUGUCGUUAGGGAAGAGAAAGGACAGUACCUAAGGAGGAAGCUCCGGCUAACUACGU
Molecule: ribosomal RNA, 472 nt
Filed under: uncultured bacterium
Lineage: Bacteria
Description: partial 16S ribosomal RNA
Rfam family: Bacterial small subunit ribosomal RNA
Source: RNAcentral